Long non-coding RNA from Mytilus californianus (California mussel), 420 nucleotides. RefSeq lists it as uncharacterized. Lineage: Eukaryota; Metazoa; Mollusca; Bivalvia; Mytilida; Mytilidae. The record is from RefSeq and is a predicted model, not a curated record. The transcript is spliced from 3 exons.
CCCAUUGUAUGACAGAAGUCACUGCUUUUAUACUACCCAUUGUAUUACAGAGGUACCUGCUUUUAUGCUACCCAUUGUAUGACAGAGGUACCUGCUUUUAUGCUACCCAUUGUAUGACAGAGGUCACUGCUUUUAUGCUACCCAUUGUAUGACAGAGGUACCUGCUUUUAUGCUACCCAUUGUAUGACAGAGGUCACUGCUUUUAUGCUACCCAUUGUAUGACAGAGGUACCUGAUUUUAUGCUACCCAUUGUAUUACAGAGGUACCUGCUUUUAUGCUAACCAUUGUAUUACAGAGGUCACUGCUUUUAUGCUACUUACAGAGGUCACUGCUUUAAUGCUACCCAUUGUAUUACAGAGGUCACUGCUUUUAUGCUACCCAUUGUAUUACAGAAGUCACUGCUUUUAUACUACCCAUUGU